RNAcentral lists this ribosomal RNA (293 nucleotides) under uncultured bacterium. RNAcentral's name for it is "partial 16S ribosomal RNA". The record is from RNAcentral.
GGACUACAGGGGUAUCUAAUCCCGUUUGAUCCCCACGCUUUCGUGCCUGAGUGUCAGGAAUGAGCCAGUAGACUGCCUACGCCAUCGGUGUUCCUCCUAAUAUCAACGGAUAUUACCCCUACACUAGGAAUUCCAUCUACCUCUCUCAUCCUCUAGCUUGGCAGUUCGAGUAAUGUAUAUCCGGUUGAGCCGAACGCUUUCACUACUCGCUUACCAUGCCACCUACGCAACUCUUUACGCCCAGUAAUUCCGGAUAACGCUUGGAUCCUCCGUAUUACCGCGGCUGCUGGCAC